GAUGAACGCUGGCGGCGUGCCUAAUACAUGCAAGUCGAGCGAACGGACGAGAAGCUUACUUCUCUGAUGUUAGCGGCGGACGGGUGAGUAACACGUGGAUAACCUACCUAUAAGACUGGGAUAACUUCGGGAAACCGUAGCUAAUACCGGAUAAUAUUUUGAACCGCAUGGUUCAAAAGUGAAAGACGGUCUUGCUGUCACUUAUAGAUGGAUCCGCGCUGCAUUAGCUAGUUGGUAAGGUAACGGCUUACCAAGGCAACGAUGCAUAGCCGACCUGAGAGGGUGAUCGGCCACACUGGAACUGAGACACGGUCCAGACUCCUACGGGAGGCAGCAGUAGGGAAUCUUCCGCAAUGGGCGAAAGCCUGACGGAGCAACGCCGCGUGAGUGAUGAAGGUCUUCGGAUCGUAAAACUCUGUUAUUAGGGAAGAACAUAUGUGUAAGUAACUGUGCACAUCUUGACGGUACCUAAUCAGAAAGCCACGGCUAACUACGUG
This 497-nucleotide ribosomal RNA is filed under the name uncultured bacterium. RNAcentral's name for it is "partial 16S ribosomal RNA". It matches the Rfam family "Bacterial small subunit ribosomal RNA", at positions 28 to 507 of the family's 1533-position model. The record is from RNAcentral.